Molecule: ribosomal RNA, 1272 nt
Filed under: Triticum aestivum (bread wheat)
Lineage: Eukaryota; Viridiplantae; Streptophyta; Magnoliopsida; Poales; Poaceae
Description: partial small subunit ribosomal RNA
Source: RNAcentral
AUGUCAAUUCCAGCGCCGCUAGAAGAUGAGGACCUCCUCCAGGAGAUUUUCCUCCGGCUCCCACCGCUGCCGUCAAUCCUCUCCCGCGCCUCCCUCGUAUGCACGCGCUGGCGCCGCAUCCUCUCCGAUCCCCGCUUCCUCCGCCGUUUGAGCAGACACCACCCGGAACCUCCUCUGUUGGGCUUCUUGAAAGGGUCUGGCCUCAGAUAUUCCGCCUUCACUCCCAUCUUGGACCCGCCCGACCGCAUCCCCGCCGAACGCUUCUCUGUUCGGUUUCUUCACAGCUUCACGAAACCUCCUCCGUUGGGUUUCUCCAAAGGGUCUCUCAUCUUCAAUCCCGUCUUCACUCCCGUCUUGGACCCGCCUAAUCGCAUCCCGGCCCAACGCUUGUUUGUGCCCGAGCACGGGCUGGAUUGGGAAUUACUUGGCUGCCGCCAUGGCCUCGCACUCAUGCUCAGCGAGUCUCUGUGUGAGGUCUUCGUGUGGGAUCCCCUCAACGGCCAGCAGCACCGCGUGGCUUUUCCAUCAGAGCUCCGUGACACCAAAAGGGAGAGUUUCUGUAGGUGCAGUGCCACGGUGAUGUGUGCUGACGAUCAAGAUGGGAACGUGCACCACGAUUGCUUCUUGAGCCCGGCCUUCAAGUUGGUCUUAAUCUGCACCAGUAGAGACUUGAAGACAACAUUCGCUUGUGUCUAUGAAUCGGCGUCGGGUGUAUGGGGGACUAUUGUCUCAACGUCGACUACAGAUAUGGUUCUGAAACUAAGGCCCGGCAUCCUCAUCGGGGAAACAGUUUACUGGUUGUUUCAUGGACGCGAAAUCCUUGCAUUUGAUACUGAAAGGCAGGCUCUUAGUGUCAUCGAGAUGCCGACAGAGGCCCAACAUGUCAAUAACUGGUCCUUUCAGCUCCUACGGACAGAUGACGAUAGUGUUCUUGGACUCGCCGUUAUGUCGAAACCGGGCAUUCAUAUAUGGGAAGGCAUUCAUAUAUGGGAGAGGAAACUGAACUCUGAUGGUCUUGCCGGAUGGGUGCUUCUGCAGAAAAUCAAUCAAUUGGAGGGGAUCUUUUCUUGCGCCUUCAGAAAUGCAGAGAUGGUGGGGUAUGACGAGGAGUUAAAUGUGAUGAUUCUGUCUACGUACAGUGGCGACUUCAUGCUCCACCUUAAGUCGAUGCAGAUCAGAUUAAUUUCUAAAACGGAUGGGUGGACUCAUACGGUUUACUUUCCCUACAGAAAUUUCUACACUGCAGGUAAUACCUCUGUACCUCAUUUGUAA